Sinocyclocheilus anshuiensis is the source of this 555-nucleotide long non-coding RNA. RefSeq lists it as uncharacterized. The transcript has 3 exons. Lineage: Eukaryota; Metazoa; Chordata; Actinopteri; Cypriniformes; Cyprinidae. The record is from RefSeq and is a predicted model, not a curated record.
CGGGUAACAAAGAGUAGUCAUCAUAAGAAUUGCCGGCGGUCAUGCCUAUCCGUCAUUAGGGGGCACUCUCGUGCGUCUGAGCAGCGCAGUGAGAAAAAGGGAAAGAAAGAGAGUGUUUUAUUUCGGGGGAACGGUUUUAUGAUUGAGGCAUCCCGGACACGAGUGAAUUGAAGUGCGUGGGCUGGAAAACAACACCGUCUGUUGUUUGCUCAGGGAAAAAAAAAGGGAAAUCCUCGGUUGGGUGUUGGUCUGGUCGCUGAGCAGUUUGGAGCAGUCUGCGAUCACACAGAUUUCGUAUUUCUCCGUGGGUGAGAAAUAUCUGCGUAGAGGAAUCGUGCAGGCCGCGGAGAUCGAGCAGGGGAGAACGAAGGCACGUGAAGGUGCAUGUGAGGUGACAGCUGGGUGAAUUUCUAAUGUGACGCAGCACGGCACAGAAAAGCAUUAUAAGCCACUACCGUUGUUUAUCCAGGGGGUUAAGUGCUCACACCAAUUUCUUUGUACUGUGUUUAAUUUAUUUAUUUGUUUAUUUUUAUUUUAUUUUUUUGUUACUGUGGG